CCACGAUUUAGUUACUUAUUUUAUUAAUUUGCAUAUCGCUAUAGAUUGAAUAUUUUUUAAGAAAUAGAAUAUUCAAGAAUUUUUAUUAGAAAAAAAAUUAGGUCAAGGUGUAGUUUAUAAAUAAGAAGAGAUGGGUUACAAUAAAAUUAUUUACGCGGAUUAAUUUAUAAAAAUUUUUAUGAAGUUGGAUUUGAAAGUAAUUUUAAUUAAUUUAUUAAAAUGAUUUUAGCUCUAAAAUAUGUACAUAUCGCCCGUCACUUUCACUAUAAAGUGGAAUAAGUCGUAACAUAGUAGAUGUACUGGAAAGUGUAUCUAGAACGGCAGAUUAGAGCUUGUUUUAAAGCAUUUUAUUUACAUUAAAAAGUUUAUUGUUAAAAUCAAUAUAAUUUGAAUUAUAAUUAUUAUUAUUAUUGUUGUUUUAGAUAUUUUUUUAUAAUUUAUAAAAAAUAAUUUUUAGUUAGAUUAAUAAUUUGAAAUAAUUAAAUUUAUUAUAGGGUAUUAGUAUUGUUAGAGAAAUAAUUAAAAAUAAUUUAAAAAAUAAUUUAAUUUUAGUACCUUGUGUAUCAGGGUUUAUUAAAUAAAUAUUAAUAAAAUUAAUUUUCUCGAAUUUAAAAGAGCUAUAAAGUUAUAAUUUUUAUUGUUAAAUAAAUAUUAUUAAUAAUUUUAUUGUAAUGAAACGUUAUUCGUUUUUAUAUAUAUCUAGUUUUUUAAGAAAAAAAUUUAAUUUUUUUAGUAAGAAUAUUUUUUUUUAUAUUUAAUUUAAUAUUAUUAUUAUAAAAUAUUUUUAGGGAUGAGCUUGAAAAUAAAAAUUUAUAAAUAAACCAAAUUAGCUUAAAAAGUAGGAUUAUAAAUUUUUAUCUUUAUUAGUGUGUUAUAAUUAGUUUAGUAUAAAAUAUGAUUUGUAGUUAUUUUAAAUUUUUUAUUAAAAUAUUUAUUUAAAUAAUAAAAAUAAAGUAAUAAUGAUAAAAUUAGUAUAAUUUUUAGUAUUGUAAAAAAUAUUUUAGGUUAGAUAAAGGAAUUCGGCAAAUAAUUUUUCACCUGUUUAUUAAAAACAUGGCCUUUUGAGUUUAAUUUAAGGUCUUGCCUGCCCAAUGAUUAAUAUUUAAUGGCCGCGGUAUUUUGACCGUGCAAAGGUAGCAUAAUCAUUUGUUUUUUAAUUGAAAGCUGGAAUGAAAGGUUUAAUGAAAAAAUUACUGUCUCUAUUUAAAUUUAUUAAAAUUUUAUUUUUAAGUUAAAAAGCUUAAUUUGAUUUUGAAGACGAGAAGACCCUAUAGAGUUUAAUAAUUUUUUAGGUUAAGAAAUUUAGUAUUAAUUUUAUUUAAUUUAAAUAAUUAUUUAAUUGGGGUGAUUAAAAAAUUUAAUUAACUUUUUUUUAAGAUUAACACUUAUAAGUGAUAACUUGAUCCUUUUAUAAAGAUUAUAAGAUUAAAUUACCUUAGGGAUAACAGCGUAAUUUUUUUUUAGAGUUCAAAUCAAAAAAAAAGAUUGCGACCUCGAUGUUGGAUUAAAAUUUAUAUUUGGUGUAGUAGCUAAGUGGUUAAGUCUGUUCGACUUUUAAAAUUUUACUUGAUCUGAGUAUCUCAAAAUAAAAAAAAUAUUUUAGUACGAAAGGACCAGAUAUUUAAUUUAAAAUUUUAAAGAUGAAUAAUAUUAGUUAUUUUGGCAGAAUAGUGCAAUAAAUUUAGAAUUUAUAUAUGUAAAUUUUUACAAAUAAUACUUGAUAUUAAAAGAUUUAUUUAUGAUAUUAAUUUCUAUAUUAAUUUUAGCUUUAUGUGUUAUAAUUAGAGUAGCUUUUUUAACUUUAUUGGAACGUAAGGUUUUAGGAUAUAUUCAAAUUC
RNAcentral lists this ribosomal RNA (1838 nucleotides) under Phrissotrichum rugicolle. RNAcentral's name for it is "partial 16S ribosomal RNA". The record is from RNAcentral. Lineage: Eukaryota; Metazoa; Arthropoda; Insecta; Coleoptera; Brentidae.